AACUACCUGUUAGACCACAUGAAUGAGUUUGACGACGGAGCGCCAUAGUAAGACAAGCAAGUUGUUUCUGAAUUACAUGCACAAGCCCAUGGGAGCAAGGAUUGUUGGGAGAUUGAUACUCCCGCACUCACAGGGCAGGCCUUAGAGAUCUUUUUGAGAUUUUGUCACUUCCUUAGUCUGUAAUUCUUUUCUGCCUUGCUAUUAGUACAUACUCUAGAUUGUCUUGAUGUGUUAAUUUAUAGACUUAACGACAUCGUAUAAAAGUUCUGUCAGUUUUACUGCACCUGCCGAUCUAUUAAUAGAUGAAGUGCCUGCGUGGAACACACUGGGUGCCAGGCAGCCUAAGC
Molecule: long non-coding RNA, 347 nt
Filed under: Hordeum vulgare
Lineage: Eukaryota; Viridiplantae; Streptophyta; Magnoliopsida; Poales; Poaceae
Description: long non-coding RNA (HVUL_LNC001264)
Source: RNAcentral